Molecule: non-coding RNA, 120 nt
Organism: Pelobates cultripes (western spadefoot toad)
Lineage: Eukaryota; Metazoa; Chordata; Amphibia; Anura; Pelobatidae
Source: the annotation of a GenBank genome assembly
CUCCCACAAAUUCAGGCCUAAUGGCCUUUCUACAUAUAUAUAUAAGAUAGAUAGAUAGAUACUAUAUAUAUAUAUAUAUAUAUAUAUGUAGAAAGGCUAUUAGGCCUGAAUUUGUGGGAG